UACGUAGGCGGGCUUGUAAGUGUCCUGUGAAAUCCCCCGGCUCAACCGGGGAACUGCGGGGCAAACUGCAAGUCUUGAGGAAGCUAGAGGCCGGUAGAACGAUUGGUGGAGCGGUGGAAUGCGUAGAUAUCAAUCGGAAUGCCGAAAGUGAAGACAGCCGGCUGGGGCUUUUCUGACGCUGAAGCACGAAAGCGUGGGAGGCAAACG
RNAcentral lists this ribosomal RNA (207 nucleotides) under uncultured bacterium. RNAcentral describes it as "partial 16S ribosomal RNA". It matches the Rfam family "Bacterial small subunit ribosomal RNA", at positions 568 to 774 of the family's 1533-position model. The record is from RNAcentral.